AGAGUUUGAUCAUGGCUCAGGAUGAACGACUAGCGACAGGCUUAACACAUGCAAGUCGAGGGGCAGCAAUAAAAGUAGCAAUACUUGGUGGCGACCGGCGCGACGGGUGAGUAACGCGUAUGCAACCUACCUAUCAGGAGGGGAACUAACCCGGACGAAAGUCGGACUAAUACCGCAUAAAACAGGGGCACCGCAUGGUGAUAUUUGUUAAAGAAAUUCGCUGAUAGAUGGGCAUGCGUUCCGUUAGGUAGUUGGUGAGGUAACGGCUCACCAAGCCGACGAUGGAUAGGGGAACUGAGAGGUUCGGUCCCCCACACUGGUACUGAGACACGGACCAGACUCCUACGGGAGGCAGCAGUGAGGAAUAUUGGUCAAUGGGCGGGAGCCUGAACCAGGGGCCAAGUCGCGUGAAAAGGAAGAAGGAUCUAUGGUUCGUAAACUUCUUUUGCAGGGGAAUAAAGUGCAGGACGUGUCCUGUUUUGUAUGUACCCUGAGAAUAAGGAUCGGCUAACUCCGUGCCAGCCGCAGC
Molecule: ribosomal RNA, 529 nt
Filed under: uncultured bacterium
Lineage: Bacteria
Description: bacterial SSU rRNA
Rfam family: Bacterial small subunit ribosomal RNA
Source: RNAcentral